This 309-nucleotide long non-coding RNA is filed under the name Musa acuminata (dwarf banana). RNAcentral's name for it is "long non-coding RNA (MACU_LNC002969)". Lineage: Eukaryota; Viridiplantae; Streptophyta; Magnoliopsida; Zingiberales; Musaceae. The record is from RNAcentral.
GGGCGGCGGCGCCAGUGGGGCCGGCACUGGCUUCGGUGGAGCCGGUUCAGGCUUAGGCGGUGGUGGAUCGGGAGCGGGCGCUGGAGGCGGUUCAGGUGCUGGCGCUGGCGGUUCGGGGGCGGGCGGCGGCGGGGCCGGUUCAGGUGGAGGCGGUGCCGGUUCUGGUGGGGGAGGAGCCGGUUCGGGUGGAGGAGGGGCCGGUUCAGGUGGCGGAGGAGGAGGAGGAGGUGGUGGUGGCGGGUCGUCCGGCUUGAUCUGGAUGUCUUUGAUCACCUUGCAGGCCAGGCAGCAGAGCUUCUUGAUAAGGCA